RNAcentral lists this antisense RNA (97 nucleotides) under Enterococcus rivorum. RNAcentral describes it as "Enterococcus sp. HAMBI 3055 Anti-Q RNA". It matches the Rfam family "Anti-Q RNA". Rfam says of the family: Qa RNA is a cis-regulatory element from Enterococcus faecalis which is known to negatively regulate prgQ transcription via an antisense mechanism. Lineage: Bacteria; Bacillati; Bacillota; Bacilli; Lactobacillales; Enterococcaceae. The record is from Rfam by way of RNAcentral.
GUUGUGACUAUAGUUGCAACAAAGGACCGACGUAUGUUCAAAAACGGUUGAACAUCCUAAUCUCCCUCUAGGUUUCUCAGGCCUAAGGAGACGGUUC